GUCAGGGUUUUUCUGCAGUUUGGAUUGCAGUGGGAGGAGGAACCUUUCUCCUUAUUACUGUCUUAAUCUGCAUCUGCAGAAUAAAGAAAAGAGCUGCUGGAACUGAUCACAGUGAGACAAAACAGGAUGAUGUCCUCUACACCACCGUUACACACAGCAGAUCCAGACCUGUACAGGCUGCUGCUUCUGCUGACUCUGGAGCUGCUGAUGUUCUG
Long non-coding RNA from Colossoma macropomum (tambaqui), 215 nucleotides. RefSeq lists it as uncharacterized. NCBI's taxonomy places the organism in Eukaryota, Metazoa, Chordata, Actinopteri, Characiformes, Serrasalmidae. The transcript has 3 exons. The record is from RefSeq and is a predicted model, not a curated record.